RNAcentral lists this ribosomal RNA (486 nucleotides) under uncultured bacterium. RNAcentral describes it as "partial 16S ribosomal RNA". It matches the Rfam family "Bacterial small subunit ribosomal RNA", at positions 29 to 523 of the family's 1533-position model. The record is from RNAcentral.
AGUGAACGCUGGCGGUAGGCCUAACACAUGCAAGUCGAACGGCAGCACAGAGGAGCUUGCUCCUUGGGUGGCGAGUGGCGGACGGGUGAGUAACACGUGGGCAACCUGCCUUAUAGAGAGGAAUAGCCGUCCGAAAGGAUGAUUAAUACCUCAUAAUAUUGUAGCUUCGCAUGGAGCAACAAUCAAAGGAGCAAUCCACUAUAAGAUGGGCCCGCGGCGCAUUAGCUAGUUGGUGAGGUAACGGCUCACCAAGGCGACGAUGCGUAGCCGACCUGAGAGGGUGAUCGGCCACAUUGGGACUGGGACACGGCCCAGACUCCUACGGGAGGCAGCAGUGGGGAAUAUUGCACAAUGGGGGAAACCCUGAUGCAGCAACGCCGCGUGAGUGAUGACGGCCUUCGGGUUGUAAAGCUCUGUCUUCAGGGACGAUAAUGACGGUACCUGAGGAGGAAGCCACGGCUAACUACGUGCCAGCCGCCGCGGUAA